Molecule: ribosomal RNA, 336 nt
Filed under: uncultured bacterium
Lineage: Bacteria
Description: bacterial SSU rRNA
Rfam family: Bacterial small subunit ribosomal RNA
Source: RNAcentral
AGAGUUUGAUCCUGGCUCAGGAUGAACGCUGGCGGCGCGCCUAACACAUGCAAGUCGAACGGCACCUAUCUUCGGAUAGAAGCGAGUGGCGAACGGCUGAGUAACACGUGGAGAACCUGCCCCUCCCCGGGAUAGCCGCCCGAAAGGACGGGUAAUACCGGAUACCCCCGGGCGCCGCAUGGCGCCCGGGCUAAAGCCCCGACGGGAGGGGAUGGCUCCGCGGCCCAUCAGGUAGACGGCGGGGUGACGGCCCACCGUGCCGACAACGGGUAGCCGGGUUGAGAGACCGACGGCCAGAUUGGGACUGAGACACGGCCCAGACUCCUACGGGAGGCA